AUGGUACCGGAUCCAGGGUGGUGCAAGUUGAAUACUGAUGGGUCAUUCGUUAAUUCUGAUGAAGCUGGUGCUGGUAUGAUCUUGCGUGACCAUCUUGGGGCUAUUAACUUUUCUGCAUGUAGGGUUUUGUACUCGUGCAGAGACUCCCUUGAAGCGGAGCUGUGUGCAUGCAUGGAAGGCCUGUCCAUUGCAGUGCAGCGAUGUGAUUUGCCAAUUGCUGUGGAGAUGGAUUCUCUCGAAGCGGUCUCUCUCAUAUCAAGCCCGGACAUGGAUCCUUCUGUUUACUCUUCACUUGUUAGAGAGAUUGAGUACUUAUUGGGUCUUCGGAAAACUUGUAUUUCUCAUGUCGCUAGAACUCAAAAUAAAGCUAGUGAUUGCUUAGCUAGUUUUGCUAGAACCCAAGGUAGGACCAUGACUUGGCUAGGAGCUGGUCCAGUUGAAGUAGUGGAGAUAGCAUCGAUGGAUCGUAAGGAUGUUGUGACUGAUUAA
Molecule: ribosomal RNA, 489 nt
Filed under: Triticum aestivum (bread wheat)
Lineage: Eukaryota; Viridiplantae; Streptophyta; Magnoliopsida; Poales; Poaceae
Description: partial small subunit ribosomal RNA
Source: RNAcentral